Molecule: non-coding RNA, 130 nt
Organism: Coniochaeta sp. 2T2.1
Lineage: Eukaryota; Fungi; Ascomycota; Sordariomycetes; Coniochaetales; Coniochaetaceae
Source: the annotation of a GenBank genome assembly
GGGGAUGUAGCUCAUCUGGUAGAGCGCGUGCUUAGCAUCUUACUCCUGACUCACUCGCUCACUUGGAGGGAUGAUGGGGACACCACAAUGUUCAUGCACGAGGUACUGGGUUCGACUCCCAGCUUCUCCA